RNA transcript from Carassius gibelio (silver crucian carp), 1801 nucleotides. It is a transcript of the gene named lectin-like, with no coding region annotated. The transcript has 7 exons. Lineage: Eukaryota; Metazoa; Chordata; Actinopteri; Cypriniformes; Cyprinidae. The record is from RefSeq and is a predicted model, not a curated record.
AUUGUGAGGAAAGAGACAGAAGCUGGUGAAUUACAAUGGUCAAAUCAGGAUCUAUUGGCGUUCUGUUGAUGGCUCUCCUUUUUGGGAGUGGAGACUUCUUAAAAAUGGAAAGAGGCGAUACAAAUGUCACUGAGCGAUGUUCUAUGCCUAAACCGUGUAAUGUGUACGGCUUCACUAACUGGUACAAAGUGGGCAAUGUCUGUGUCAAAUACUUCAACAGACCUCUCAACUUUACUGAUGCUGAGUUCAGCUGUAGGAAAACAGCCCCUGGUGCACACCUGGUGUCGGUGCAUAAAAAAGAGCAUAAUGAUAAGCUGCUCUGCAUUGUGAAAAGAUUCAACCCAAAUAACCUGCGCAUCUGGCUUGGAGCUUUUGAACUUUUCAAGUCUGGUCAAUUUCUUUGGCUUGAUGGAUCCUACUGGGAUUAUGAAAUCUGGACACGUGGUGAACCCAACCAUAUGUACACCAGCACAGAGGAAUGUGUGGAGAUGAACUGGAAAGGUGGGGACACGCUCCAUCUGCAUUCUGUGCAGCUUGAGCUCGAGGCCGUGGGGAAGCAGAUUUGCGACCUGGAAGUGAGGCAGGCCCAGCUGAGAGAGCGGAGAGCCACGCUGGAAUCAUCCCGGGCUGACACUCACAAGUCCGGGGUAAGUAUACAGCGUGCUGCUAACAGUCCCACCACGUCUACUCCGUGUGUUUCUCUGCACAGGCCCGGUGCACCCAGGAUGCAAUCUUCCCAGAUGUCCUUCACUCCGACGGCGGGACACCAUGGACCCGGGUGCAUCCACAGCGGAGGAUGCGAUCAGGGCCCCGGGCGAUGACUUCUCCCCCUCCUGCCUUCGAGAUCUCCAUCCGGAACCGCUUCGCUCCCCUCCGCGAGACAGGACGUGACGCUGUGAUCAUCGGAGAGUCCAUCGUCCGACACGUCCGUGCUAUGUUAAACGAAGGUAAAGUGCACACUCAUUGUUUGCCUGGUGCUUGUGUUAUCGAUGUUUCUGCGCAGAUACCUGCAAUCCUGAAGGCCGACGAGAGCCCCAGAGCAGUCGUGCUUCACGCCAGGGUUAACGGCACCACGCUGCGGCAGACGGAGACGCUGAAGAGGGACUUCAACAGCCUGAUCUAGACGAUUCACAGCACGACGCCCGCGGCGACGAUCAUCGUGUCAGGACCACUGCCCACGUAUCGACGAGGACACGAAAGGUUCAGUAGACUUUUUGCUUUAAAUGGAUGGUUGUUGUCAUGGUGUAAAGAACAGAAACUGCUAUUUGUUAUAACUGGAACUUUUCUGGGAGCAUCCUAGGCUGUUUCGCGCUGAUGGAUUACACCCCAGCAGAAUCCGAGCGGAGCUGCUUUCCGACAACAUCUCCAGGACACUUCGCUCCAUGUGACUACAUGGAAUUCACCGCUCACUUCAGCCCACCGGCCACUCCAGUUUCCUAGUCCGGCAACCAUGCCUUUCACCCCAAACUUAGAGGGGAACCAAAGGAGGAGAAGGUGGUUGGUGCUAUACCCUAGGCUUACUCCAGUGUCAGCUUUAGCCCCUUAGCUUGCUCCAGUGGUGGCUCCAGCUCCUGAGUUUGCCCAAGUACCAGCUCUUCAAAAGCGACUUACUGUGCCUGGUCCUCCAGAGCACCCUCCAGUGCCAGCUCGUAAGUGGCAGUCCCUGAAUCUAGCCCAGAGAGGGAUUCUGUUCCUGAGUUUAGCCCCCGAGGUCUCCUGUCCCCGAGUAUGACCAGUGAUGGCUCCAGUCAUAGCAACCUGAAAUGCCUAUUUGAGUUUUAGCCCAUUUUGUUCUCCCUUG